Zootermopsis nevadensis is the source of this 1594-nucleotide non-coding RNA. Lineage: Eukaryota; Metazoa; Arthropoda; Insecta; Blattodea; Termopsidae. The record is from RefSeq and is a predicted model, not a curated record.
CCCUGAUGACGGAGGCAGUAUGACCUCUGAAACGUUGGUUAACAUCGACCAGACUACACAGCGCAACAACCCAGAAGACAGAAAUCUUCAUUUUGUAACUAGUUAUUAUUUAUACGGUGAGGAGUUGUUAGUCCUAUGUUCAAAUCUCAAGCUGGAGGACCACCCCCUGUCGGCUAUCCACGACUGCUUAUUCAACAUAUUCGCAGCUACCCUCAAUAUCUGGGGGCCUUCUCCUCCAUCUGCAACCUGAGGAUGCGCCAUGUCGUGGUAACAAGGGACCCACAAUACAUGAAUUUCAGGUAGGGUUCUAUUAAAUAUGAAUGUGGCGAGUUUAAUGUUCUAUGUCAUGUUUGCGUAUCACGUUUCAUGAAAAUUUGCUACCUUUUUCACUGCAGGUUAUUCAGAGACAUUCGAAGAAAUGACACCAAAACUUUCUCUGUCCAUAUACUGAAUUAUGAUCCAGGCCUGUUGGACCACGCACAUAUCGCUUCUCAGUUAGCAACCAGGACUUUAAUCCGCCUCCAACCACUUCCAGUAAUUUCCAACUGUCAAUGAAGAGAUUUUACGUUCAUGCCUUGGUCCAUUUUCACCUACCAAUCUAGUGGCAUGUUCUACUACAAAGUCUUUCAGUACUCAGAAGGACCAGGUUCAACACCCGGCACAGACUUUCCGUUGUAUUCGUAGUUUCAGUUGCUAGGUGUGAGAGACAGCUGACAGUAAAGGUCAUAACGGAAGGCAGACCAGCUCUAAAAAGACAAGUGUAAAUAUGUUGAUAAAUAAAUGACAUAUUAACAAAUAUAUAUCCUGAAACAUAGCUUCAGAAGUGCUGUAAUUAUAGCAAAUGACAAAACGUCAAGUUUUAUAAAACUUUCACUAAACAAUGAUGACUGUGCCAUAGCUCGGGCGGUUAGUCGCCUGCUUCUCUCCACGAAGGACCGGAUUCCUACUUAAUUCUGUUCAUGUGGGAUCCACGUCAUUUCGCCCUUGACAUAUUUAGGUUAAAAUGUAUAUUGGAAUUAUUUGAUCAACUUCAUUAAUACUAGAAUGUGGUGUUAUCAUAGUACUACAAUUAUACAGACCUUAAGACAUAAAUGUGAACAGAUUACUGAGUAAGUAGGAUUUGAGGUUAUUGCAGCGACUGUCUUGUGGAUUAUAGCGCUGAGUAGUCUGGUAGAAGUUUGCCAAAAUUUCAGAGGUCCUUGCUGUCAGUAUAUCGCAUGAAAUGUGUUCUUACAGACCUGACAGAAGAUGUUGCUAAGUAGGCCGUCUGCUUAAAAAGCAGGGUAUUUUUUCUGUACAGUGACGCGUCAGAGCACUUCUUCCGGAAUAGUUGUCCGAUACCUCUCUCACAAAAACAAUUGUUUGCGUAACCUCAUUCUACAAUAAGAACUUUUCUCAAAUUAUAUUUACUUUAAAACACGUUCUGCAAGUCAGUGAAGUUGACUCGGUGUAUGAUGAAACAUCAGGAUAGAACAAACGUCUCAUAUUUAUGAUACGACAUCAUACCUGAAGUCUGAUCUAAAAUAUUCUGUGACUCUCCAGUUCGACUGGAAAGUGAAACCAGCAGUAAACUUUUCGAAAAUAUAAAUUUCUG